RNAcentral lists this ribosomal RNA (257 nucleotides) under uncultured bacterium. RNAcentral describes it as "partial 16S ribosomal RNA". It matches the Rfam family "Bacterial small subunit ribosomal RNA", at positions 524 to 776 of the family's 1533-position model. The record is from RNAcentral.
UACGUAGGGCGCAAGCGUUGUCCGGAAUUAUUGGGCGUAAAGAGCUCGUAGGCGGCUUGUCACGUCGAUUUGUGAAAAGCCCGAGGCUUAACCUCGGGUCUGCAGUCGAUACGGGCUAGCUAGAGUGUGGUAGGGGGAGAUCGGAAUUCCUGGUGUAGCGGUGAAAAUGCGCAGAUAUCAGGAGGAACACCGAUGGCGGAGGCAGGUCUCUGGGCAUUAACUGACGUGAGGAGCGAAAGCAUGGGGGAGCGAACAGG